GCGCCGCUUUUGUCGUCUACCACGCACCAAGUGAGUUUACACUGCACUCUCGUCCACCAUGAUCUUAUCCAUGGCACUUGUUUAAGUGGAUGGUAAUCUCACUGUUGUCCGUUUCCGAUCCACUGUGUUUGCUGCAGAGUACGGGAACUGCGUGCUCCCAUCAAAGACUUGGAUCCAAGAGACAAUAACAGCGAAGUCCAGUGUUACCGUUGUCUUGUACGUAACAAGAUGUGACAGUGACACACAAAAGCCCGGCAACUGCAAAUCGUUUGACUGGAUCUGCUGGCCAGACCAUCAGAGAGUUAGAGUCAGCGGGCAAAAAUGCUUUAGCUCCCACUUU
This 340-nucleotide long non-coding RNA is filed under the name Setaria italica (foxtail millet). RNAcentral's name for it is "long non-coding RNA (SITA_LNC001584)". Lineage: Eukaryota; Viridiplantae; Streptophyta; Magnoliopsida; Poales; Poaceae. The record is from RNAcentral.